GCCAUUGUAGUUUAAUCGGCAAAACACAUCCGUGGUAUGGAUGAAAAACGGGUUCGAAUCCCGUCUUUGGCA
RNAcentral lists this transfer RNA (72 nucleotides) under Ceratocystis platani. It matches the Rfam family "tRNA". From Rfam's summary of the family: Transfer RNA (tRNA) molecules are approximately 80 nucleotides in length. Their secondary structure includes four short double-helical elements and three loops (D, anti-codon, and T loops). Lineage: Eukaryota; Fungi; Ascomycota; Sordariomycetes; Microascales; Ceratocystidaceae. The record is from Rfam by way of RNAcentral.